GAUGAACGCUGGCGGCGUGCCUAAUACAUGCAAGUCGAGCGAACAGAUAAGGAGCUUGCUCCUUUGACGUUAGCGGCGGACGGGUGAGUAACACGUGGAUAACCUACCUAUAAGACUGGGAUAACUUCGGGAAACCGGAGCUAAUACCGGAUAACAUAUUGAACCGCAUGGUUCAAUAGUGAAAGGCGGCUUUGCUGUCACUUAUAGAUGGAUCCGCGCCGUAUUAGCUAGUUGGUAAGGUAACGGCUUACCAAGGCAACGAUACGUAGCCGACCUGAGAGAGUGAUCGGCCACACUGGAACUGAGACACGGUCCAGACUCCUACGGGAGGCAGCAGUAGGGAAUCUGCCGCAAUAGGCGAAAGCCUGACGGAGCAACGCCGCGUGAGUGAUGAAGGUCUUCGGAUCGUAAAACUCUGUUAUCAGGGAAGAACAGAUGUGUAAGUAACUGUGCACAUCUUGACGGUACCUGAUCAGAAAGCCACGGCUAACUACGUG
This 497-nucleotide ribosomal RNA is filed under the name uncultured bacterium. Its description in RNAcentral is "partial 16S ribosomal RNA". It matches the Rfam family "Bacterial small subunit ribosomal RNA", at positions 28 to 507 of the family's 1533-position model. The record is from RNAcentral.